UUGCUCUCAUUUCCUUUCUCUCCUGAUCCAAUCUCCACCUUCCCUGAUUCCUAUCCUCACUGUGCUUUCCCUCUUUGUAGAACCACCCUCAAGCUCUGUACUCCACACCCCUCACCCCCAGCCUCAGACCUUCCCAGAGAAAUUGUAUAGAAUUGAGAGACAAAGCAAGGUCCACUUGAAAAAAGAGUGUCCGCCCACAUAAACUUCUUCAGAACAAUCUUUGCACAACGUACCUGCUGCUUAGUAAAUGUUUAAUAGUGAACUAAAACGUCCUCCUUUCCGUGCCCAUCCUCCAGAGCCCUGCCCUGGGAGAGGGGAGGUGAAGAGAACUAAGAUAACGUCGUUCUUCAGCUUUCUCCUCUCCUGGCUUCCAAACUCUGCCCAGGUUCUCCAAUGUCCGAAUUCCAAACGUGAUGACCUGCUCUACUGGCAAGACCUCUGAGAGAAAUAGAAUAACAAGCCACAGUCCUGGUUAAUGGAGCAGAAACACGCGAAGGUGACAGCUACUGGUUUCAGAAAGAUCAUAUGCACUUCUUCGUGUUCAUGUUACUUUUCUCCCUCAAGUGAAAUUGAAGAUCGAGCCAUCUGUAAACUCCGUCCUCCUGUUCAAGGAAGACCCCCAAGGCUGCAUGAUAUGGACGGACAACGCCAGAAGGCCGGGGGCCAAGUAUGACGGAUUAGCCGGGUUCCUUGGGAAACCUAGUCUGAUGAUCACAGAACCUGGAGAAAGAACCUUGGGUUCACUGUGAUGUCACCACUGGCAGCUGGGCGAUCGGGAGAGCUGCUCCUCCUCUCGGAACCUUGUUUCGCUUCCGUGCAAAAGACCUAACAGCCUCGGCUGGCCUGGCUCCCGGCUCUGUUUGGAGGGUCAGCGGGAAGGUGUCUGGCGUGCGCGCGCGGUUUGCCAAGCCGCGGGCGCGGUGCUUUCCUCGGAGAUUGCUGUUGCCGCGGCUGGGCGGCGGCAGCAGCUGCAGCAGCAGCAGCAGCAGCGACGCGGGCUUGGGGC
Long non-coding RNA from Aethalodelphis obliquidens (Pacific white-sided dolphin), 1006 nucleotides. RefSeq lists it as uncharacterized. The record is from RefSeq and is a predicted model, not a curated record. The transcript is spliced from 3 exons. NCBI's taxonomy places the organism in Eukaryota, Metazoa, Chordata, Mammalia, Artiodactyla, Delphinidae.